Molecule: RNA transcript, 1676 nt
Organism: Musa acuminata subsp. malaccensis (wild Malaysian banana)
Lineage: Eukaryota; Viridiplantae; Streptophyta; Magnoliopsida; Zingiberales; Musaceae
Gene name: protein CANDIDATE G-PROTEIN COUPLED RECEPTOR 7-like
Source: RefSeq, a predicted model, not a curated record
UGCAUUCCGGUGAGAAUUCCUGUACUCAAAUCGUCACCCAUCUUAAAGUUAAUCAAACGGACAGGCUUAAGCGUGAAGGCGAUGGCCGGCCCACCGACUCCCCGUCCUCUGUUUCGAUAAUACCUCGCCGACGUCGCCCCAAGGAUUCAGGUUCGGUCGCCAUGGCGGGAUCUCUGCGGCCUCAUAUUGUCCUGCUCGUCUUCCUCACCGUCCUCGCUUCGAUCUCUUCGUGUAUGGCGGAGAUUAAGAACCUAAAGAUCUCCUCCGACUUCCGGGCGAUCAUCCUGUUCGAGAAGUUCGGCUUUACCCGGCGUGGCGAGGUGGCCGUUGCUGUUUCCGACGUCUCCAUCUCCUCCACCCUCGGCGCCCCCGACCACUCCCUCCUUGGCUUCUUCCUCCCCUCCGACGAGAGCCUCAUCCAGGCGGCUUACGAUUCCCAGCAUGGCCGCAGCUCCUACUCUGACACUAAGCCUAGCCCCAAUACUGGAUGCGUCCUCCAUAGCUCCUACGUCCGCCUCCUCUUCACCUUCGAUGAACUCUCCCCGGCGCCCUCAGCCGCAUUAAACCGCUCCUUCCCCAUCUCCCACCCGGACGAGUACAGCCUCUUCUUCGCCAACUGCGCCCCAGAGACCGCGGUCACCAUGUCCGUCCGCACCGAGAUGUACAACACCCGUCCCGAUGGUUCCCGUGACUACCUCUCCGUCGGCCAGUCCCCCGUUCCCUCCCUGUACACCUUCUUCGCCGCCGCCUUCUUCGCCGUGUGGAUCCACCUCGCCCUUUUCAAGAACCGCCUCGCCGCCCACCGGCUCCACCACCUCAUGGCCGGUCUCCUCUUCACCAAGGCUCUCAACCUCAUCUUUGCCGCCGAGGACCAGCACUACAUCCGCCAGACCGGCACCCCCCACGGGUGGGACGUCCUAUUCUACCUCUUCCAAUUCCUGAAAGGCGUCCUCUUGUUCACCGUCAUCGUCCUCAUCGGCACCGGAUGGUCCUUCCUCAAGCCCUUCCUCCAGGAGCGAGAGAAGAAGGUGCUCAUGAUCGUGAUCCCGCUCCAGGUCGUCGCCAACAUCGCGUCGGUCGUGAUAGGCGAGACCGGACCCUUCAUCCGGGACUGGGUCUCCUGAAAUCGGGUCCUCCUCCUCAUCGAUGUCAUCUGCUGCUGCGCCAUCCUGUUCCCCAUCAUCCGGUCAAUCAGAUCGCUGCGCGAGACUUCAAAGACGGACGGGAAGGCCGCGAGAAACGUUGCCAAGCUCACUCUUUUCCGGCAGUUCUACACUGUGGUGAUCGGGUAUCUGUACUUCACGAGGGUUGUGGUGUACGCGUUGAAGACGAUCACGUCUUACAAGUAUCGGUGGGUCAGCGUGGCAGCCGAAGAGACAGCGAGCCUCGCCUUCUACAUCUUCAUGUUUUACAUGUUUAGGCCGGUGGAGAAGAACCACUACUUUGCGCUCGAUGACGAAGAGGAAGAGGCCGCGGAGAUGGUGCUUCGCGACGAAGAAUUCGAGCUUUGAAUGACAGUGAAUUCCCAGUAUGCCUGUAUGGGAAUGUUGUAACAUGGAUAAAAACUAUAGUUAUAAUUUUGGACGUUUCAUCUUUAUCUUCUUUUAUUUAAGCAUCUGAGUUAUCUUAUAUUUGUCUUCUAUUUAUAUGGCUACGAAGCAUCCAUUUGUCUUCUA